UGGGUAGGAAAUUGCCCCGGUGGAAUGCCUCACCAGAGAAGCAGGUAGCAGGCCCUCACAGAGGAUUAACACAGUGGCUGAACACCAGGAAGGAACUGGCACUUGGAGUCCAGACAUCUAAAAUUUGGAAAUGAAAGCAUUUGUCCAGAUCUCUGGCAAAGAUGGCACUGUGGUGUUUUCUCUGGGGCCAGUUGUGCAAAACCUUAUAGAAGAGAAGGCUGAUCUCAUUGCUUCAAACUUGGCCCAGAUUCAACAGAAGGAAGACCCACUACAUUAUCUGAGACAAUGGGGAAAGCUGACGUAUGGCUUAUUCGAAACUCCUGGAAUUUUCAGUUUCCAUAUCCACUCUUACCAAAUGUUGAUUUUGUUGGAGGACUCCACUGCAAACCUGCCAAACCCCUGCCUAAGGAAAUGGAAGACUUUGUACAGAGCUCUGGAGAAAAUGGUGUUGUGGUGUUUUCUCUGGGGUCAAUGGUCAGUAACAUGACAGAAGAAAGGGCCAACGUAAUUGCAUCAGCCCUUGCCCAGAUCCCACAAAAGGUUCUGUGGAGAUUUGAUGGGAAUAAACCAGAUACCUUAGGUCUCAAUACUCGGCUCUACAAGUGGAUACCCCAGAAUGACCUUCUAGAUAUAAAGAGAAUGUUAUGAAAUUAUCAAGAAUUCAACAUGAUCAACCAGUGAAGCCCCUGGAUCGAGCAGUCUUCUGGAUUGAAUUUGUCAUGCGCCACAAAGGAGCUAAACACC
Molecule: small RNA, 744 nt
Filed under: Pan troglodytes (chimpanzee)
Lineage: Eukaryota; Metazoa; Chordata; Mammalia; Primates; Hominidae
Description: processed transcript
Source: RNAcentral